Molecule: ribosomal RNA, 530 nt
Filed under: Staphylococcus epidermidis
Lineage: Bacteria; Bacillati; Bacillota; Bacilli; Caryophanales; Staphylococcaceae
Description: bacterial SSU rRNA
Rfam family: Bacterial small subunit ribosomal RNA
Source: RNAcentral
GCGGACGGGUGAGUAACACGUGGAUAACCUACCUAUAAGACUGGGAUAACUUCGGGAAACCGGAGCUAAUACCGGAUAAUAUAUUGAACCGCAUGGUUCAAUAGUGAAAGACGGUUUUGCUGUCACUUAUAGAUGGAUCCGCGCCGCAUUAGCUAGUUGGUAAGGUAACGGCUUACCAAGGCAACGAUGCGUAGCCGACCUGAGAGGGUGAUCGGCCACACUGGAACUGAGACACGGUCCAGACUCCUACGGGAGGCAGCAGUAGGGAAUCUUCCGCAAUGGGCGAAAGCCUGACGGAGCAACGCCGCGUGAGUGAUGAAGGUCUUCGGAUCGUAAAACUCUGUUAUUAGGGAAGAACAAAUGUGUAAGUAACUAUGCACGUCUUGACGGUACCUAAUCAGAAAGCCACGGCUAACUACGUGCCAGCAGCCGCGGUAAUACGUAGGUGGCAAGCGUUAUCCGGAAUUAUUGGGCGUAAAGCGCGCGUAGGCGGUUUUUUAAGUCUGAUGUGAAAGCCCACGGCUCAACCG